Molecule: small nuclear RNA, 107 nt
Organism: Perognathus longimembris pacificus (Pacific pocket mouse)
Lineage: Eukaryota; Metazoa; Chordata; Mammalia; Rodentia; Heteromyidae
Source: RefSeq, a predicted model, not a curated record
GUGCUCGCUUCGGCAGCACAUAAACUAAAAUUGGAACGAUACAGAGAAGAUUAGCAUGGUCCCUGCACAAGGAUGACAGGCAAAUUUGUGAAGCGUUCCAUAUUUUU